GAAGUAAAUUAAUAUGAACUUCUAACUCAUAAAUUAUGAUCAUUAAUCAUAUUACUUCU
This 59-nucleotide transfer RNA is filed under the name Solenopsis geminata. Its description in RNAcentral is "tRNA-Ser". Lineage: Eukaryota; Metazoa; Arthropoda; Insecta; Hymenoptera; Formicidae. The record is from RNAcentral.